UUUUUGAGUUCAAAGUGUUCACCUCUAUUCUCCGAACGUCGAUGAUUCUGAAGAAAGUUGGCAAAAGUUUGAUUUUCAUUGUGGUUCUUUAAGGAUCUUCUAAUGCGAAGGAAUUAAAGACGACUCAUUCUAAAGCGUCUACGAAAGUAUUCUUCUGGAAAUAUUGGAUUGAGCCCAAAAUAAUCACUUUUUAAUUGAAUGUUGCCGUUGACUCUUCCCCGAUUAAUGACGUUGUGUCCUGGUAAUGAUCCACCCCAUUGGACCGAAUUGUUCCUUUGCAUCAUUAGGUAUUGCCGCAUUUGUAUCUCGUCUUGCUCCAUAAUGAAAUUGUUUUGCACAAUUUGUCGAUUUCGCAUUUCAUCUUCAUAGUUAGCUUCCUCAGAAUCAGAAGAGUUUCCAUUCAAAGCUG
This 409-nucleotide long non-coding RNA is filed under the name Aquilegia coerulea. RNAcentral describes it as "long non-coding RNA (ACOE_LNC000958)". Lineage: Eukaryota; Viridiplantae; Streptophyta; Magnoliopsida; Ranunculales; Ranunculaceae. The record is from RNAcentral.